GGUUAAGCGACUAAGCGUACACGGUGGAUGCCCUGGCAGUCAGAGGCGAUGAAGGACGUGCUAAUCUGCGAAAAGCGUCGGUAAGGUGAUAUGAACCGUUAUAACCGGCGAUGUCCGAAUGGGGAAACCCAGUGCAAUUCGUUGCACUAUCGUUAACUGAAUACAUAGGUUAACGAGGCGAACCGGGGGAACUGAAACAUCUAAGUACCCCGAGGAAAAGAAAUCAACCGAGAUUCCCCCAGUAGCGGCGAGCGAACGGGGAGCAGCCCAGAGUCUGAAUCAGCUUGUGUGUUAGUGGAACGGUCUGGAAAGUCCGACGGUACAGGGUGAUAGUCCCGUACACCAAAAUGCACAGGUUGUGAACUCGAAGAGUAGGGCGGGACACGUGGUAUCCUGUCUGAAUAUGGGGGGACCAUCCUCCAAGGCUAAAUACUCCUGACUGACCGAUAGUGAACCAGUACCGUGAGGGAAAGGCGAAAAGAACCCCGGCGAGGGGAGUGAAAAAGAACCUGAAACCGUGUACGUACAAGCAGUGGGAGCACCUUCGGGUGUGACUGCGUACCUUUUGUAUAAUGGGUCAGCGACUUAUAUUCUGUAGCAAGGUUAACCGUAUAGGGGAGCCGCAGGGAAACCGAGUCUUAACUGGGCGUUAAGUUGCAGGGUAUAGACCCGAAACCCGGUGAUCUAGCCAUGGGCAGGUUGAAGGUUGGGUAACACUAACUGGAGGACCGAACCGACUAAUGUUGAAAAAUUAGCGGAUGACUUGUGGCUGGGGGUGAAAGGCCAAUCAAACCGGGAGAUAGCUGGUUCUCCCCGAAAGCUAUUUAGGUAGCGCCUCGUGAAUUCAUCUUCGGGGGUAGAGCACUGUUUCGGCUAGGGGGUCAUCCCGACUUACCAACCCGAUGCAAACUACGAAUACCGAAGAAUGUUAUCACGGGAGACACACGGCGGGUGCUAACGUCCGUCGUGAAGAGGGAAACAACCCAGACCGCCAGCUAAGGUCCCAAAGUCAUGGUUAAGUGGGAAACGAUGUGGGAAGGCACAGACAGCCAGGAUGUUGGCUUAGAAGCAGCCAUCAUUUAAAGAAAGCGUAAUAGCUCACUGGUCGAGUCGGCCUGCGCGGAAGAUGUAACGGGGCUAAACCAUGCACCGAAGCUGCGGCAGCGACACUAUGUGUUGUUGGGUAGGGGAGCGUUCUGUAAGCCUGCGAAGGUGACCUGUGAGGGUUGCUGGAGGUAUCAGAAGUGCGAAUGCUGACAUAAGUAACGAUAAAGCGGGUGAAAAGCCCGCUCGCCGGAAGACCAAGGGUUCCUGUCCAACGUUAAUCGGGGCAGGGUGAGUCGACCCCUAAGGCGAGGCCGAAAGGCGUAGUCGAUGGGAAACAGGUUAAUAUUCCUGUACUUGGUGUUACUGCGAAGGGGGGACGGAGAAGGCUAUGUUAGCCGGGCGACGGUUGUCCCGGUUUAAGCAUGUAGGCUGGUUGUCCAGGCAAAUCCGGAUAAUCAAGGCUGAGGUGUGAUGACGAGGCACUACGGUGCUGAAGUAACAAAUGCCCUGCUUCCAGGAAAAGCCUCUAAGCAUCAGGUAACAUUAAAUCGUACCCCAAACCGACACAGGUGGUCAGGUAGAGAAUACCAAGGCGCUUGAGAGAACUCGGGUGAAGGAACUAGGCAAAAUGGUGCCGUAACUUCGGGAGAAGGCACGCUGGUGUGUAGGUGAAGUCCCUGCGGAUGGAGCUGAGACCAGUCGAAGAUACCAGCUGGCUGCAACUGUUUAUUAAAAACACAGCACUGUGCAAACACGAAAGUGGACGUAUACGGUGUGACGCCUGCCCGGUGCCGGAAGGUUAAUUGAUGGGGUUAUCCGUAAGGAGAAGCUCUUGAUCGAAGCCCCGGUAAACGGCGGCCGUAACUAUAACGGUCCUAAGGUAGCGAAAUUCCUUGUCGGGUAAGUUCCGACCUGCACGAAUGGCGUAAUGAUGGCCAGGCUGUCUCCACCCGAGACUCAGUGAAAUUGAACUCGCUGUGAAGAUGCAGUGUACCCGCGGCAAGACGGAAAGACCCCGUGAACCUUUACUAUAGCUUGACACUGAACAUUGAGCCUUGAUGUGUAGGAUAGGUGGGAGGCUUUGAAGCGUGGACGCCAGUCUGCGUGGAGCCAACCUUGAAAUACCACCCUUUAAUGUUUGAUGUUCUAACGUUGGCCCCUUACCGGGGUUGCGGACAGUGUCUGGUGGGUAGUUUGACUGGGGCGGUCUCCUCCCAAAGCGUAACGGAGGAGCACGAAGGUUAGCUAAUCCUGGUCGGACAUCAGGAGGUUAGUGCAAUGGCAUAAGCUAGCUUGACUGCGAGCGUGACGGCGCGAGCAGGUGCGAAAGCAGGUCAUAGUGAUCCGGUGGUUCUGAAUGGAAGGGCCAUCGCUCAACGGAUAAAAGGUACUCCGGGGAUAACAGGCUGAUACCGCCCAAGAGUUCAUAUCGACGGCGGUGUUUGGCACCUCGAUGUCGGCUCAUCACAUCCUGGGGCUGAAGUAGGUCCCAAGGGUAUGGCUGUUCGCCAUUUAAAGUGGUACGCGAGCUGGGUUUAGAACGUCGUGAGACAGUUCGGUCCCUAUUCUGCCGUGGGCGCUGGAGAAUUGAGGGGGCUGCUCCUAGUACGAGAGGACCGGAGUGGACGCAUCACUGGUGUUCGGGUUGUCAUGCCAAUGGCACUGCCCGGUAGCUAAAUGCGGAAGAGAUAAGUGCUGAAAGCAUCUAAGCACGAAACUUGCCCCGAGAUGAGUUCUCCCUGAGACUUUAAGUCUCCUGAAGGAACGUUAAAGACGAUGACGUUGAUAGGCCGGGUGUGUAAGCGCAGCGAUGCGUUGAGCUAACCGGUACUAAUGAACCGUGAGGCUUAACCUU
RNAcentral lists this ribosomal RNA (2902 nucleotides) under Klebsiella pneumoniae. RNAcentral's name for it is "23S ribosomal RNA". It matches the Rfam family "Bacterial large subunit ribosomal RNA". The record is from RNAcentral. Lineage: Bacteria; Pseudomonadati; Pseudomonadota; Gammaproteobacteria; Enterobacterales; Enterobacteriaceae.